Molecule: ribosomal RNA, 479 nt
Filed under: uncultured bacterium
Lineage: Bacteria
Description: partial 16S ribosomal RNA
Rfam family: Bacterial small subunit ribosomal RNA
Source: RNAcentral
UGGGGAAUAUUGGACAAUGGGGGCAACCCUGAUCCAGCAAUGCCGCGUGUGUGAAGAAGGUCUUCGGAUUGUAAAGCACUUUCGACGGGGACGAUGAUGACGGUACCCGUAGAAGAAGCCCCGGCUAACUUCGUGCCAGCAGCCGCGGUAAUACGAAGGGGGCUAGCGUUGCUCGGAAUGACUGGGCGUAAAGGGCGUGUAGGCGGUUUACACAGUCAGAUGUGAAAUCCCCGGGCUUAACCUGGGAGCUGCAUUUGAUACGUGUAGACUAGAGUGUGAGAGAGGGUUUGUGGAAUUCCCAGUGUAGAGGUGAAAUUCGUAGAUAUUGGGAAGAACACCGGUGGCGAAGGCGGCAACCUGGCUCAUGACUGACGCUGAGGCGCGAAAGCGUGGGGAGCAAACAGGAUUAGAUACCCUGGUAGUCCACGCUGUAAACGAUGUGUGCUAGAUGUUGGGUAACUUUGUUAUUCAGUGUCGCA